Molecule: small nuclear RNA, 103 nt
Organism: Salvia splendens (bonfire salvia)
Lineage: Eukaryota; Viridiplantae; Streptophyta; Magnoliopsida; Lamiales; Lamiaceae
Source: RefSeq, a predicted model, not a curated record
GGCCCUCCGGGGACCUCCGAUAAAAUUGGAACGAUACAGAAAAAAUUAGCAUGCCCCCCGCACAAGGAUGACACGCAUAAAUCGAGAAAUUAUCGAAGUUAUG